GAUGAACGCUGGCGGUAUGCUUAACACAUGCAAGUCGAACGGUCUCUUCGGAGAUAGUGGCGGACGGGUGAAUAACGCGUGAGAAUCUGGCUUCAGGUCGGGGACAACCACGGGAAACUGUGGCUAAUACCGGAUAUGCCGAGAGGUGAAAGGCUUGCUGCCUGAAGAUGAGCUCGCGUCUGAUUAGCUAGUAGGUGUGGUAAAAGCGCACCUAGGCGACGAUCAGUAGCUGGUCUGAGAGGAUGAUCAGCCACACUGGGACUGAGACACGGCCCAGACUCCUACGGGAGGCAGCAGUGGGGAAUUUUCCGCAAUGGGCGAAAGCCUGACGGAGCAAUACCGCGUGAGGGAGGAAGGCUCUUGGGUUGUAAACCUCUUUUCUCAGGGAAGAAAAAAAUGACGGUACUG
Molecule: ribosomal RNA, 408 nt
Filed under: uncultured cyanobacterium
Lineage: Bacteria; Bacillati; Cyanobacteriota
Description: bacterial SSU rRNA
Rfam family: Bacterial small subunit ribosomal RNA
Source: RNAcentral